RNAcentral lists this long non-coding RNA (614 nucleotides) under Gopherus agassizii (Agassiz's desert tortoise). Its description in RNAcentral is "lncRNA (ENSGAGG00000023851.1)". Lineage: Eukaryota; Metazoa; Chordata; Testudines; Testudinidae. The record is from RNAcentral.
CUUCUGAGAAUGUCUUGCCACUUGGUGUCUGUGGAAACAUGAAGUCUCUCUAACUUAUUUUCCCUGUUCUAAUUAUUGUUCAAGAACUGACAGCUGAGUGCAAAGCAUGAAAUCUGGAGUCCUUUUGAUAUCUCUCUCUCUGUGUUUGAAGGGCAUCUUCAUGGGCGGAGCUCUCCCAGUACAAUCAGGUGGCCAUGUUCCAUGCGAGCCAUUUCUUGUGACUGAAGGAGGCAGGAAACUUUUGGAAGGAGAGACUCAUUACAAGGCACAAUCUUAUUAUAAACCUACCAAAACAGUAAUUAGCCUGUAUAUUUCCAAGAAACUCUUUAAAGAGCUGAAGACAACAAAUAACAUCUCCAACCAACAGAAUGGAAUUCUGAAGCAAAACAACUUCCUUUCACUCUAAUGAGCAUUUGAGACCCCCUCCCGUUCCAGACCUUUCUCUUCUCCGGUGCAGUUUUUUUUUAAAUUCUUCAUUUAGUAAAAAUAACUUUUUUUAAAACACUUUACCAUUUUGUGAUGUUUCUCAGUUUUUGUAAUUGUAAGUUUUUGCAAAUAUUCUUAAUGAACUCGGGGUUUGAUCCAGCUCCCACUACAAUCCUGUUAAGAUUCUC